AAAGCUUCAGCAAACGAACUACACGAUCUAGUGCUAUGCUUAGGAUUGGGUCUUGUCCAUCACAUCAUUCUCCUAAUGAUGUGAUCCCGUUAUCAAUGACAUCCAAUGUCCAUGGUCAGGAAACUGUAACCAUCUAUUGAUCAACGAGCUAGUCAACUAGAGGCUCACUAGGGACAUGUUAUGGUCUAUGGGUUCACACAUGUAUUACGAUUUCCGGAUAACACAAUUAUAGCAUGAACAAUAGACGGUUAUCAUGAACAAGGAAAUAUAAUAAUAACCAUUUUAUUAUUGCCUCUAGGGCAUAUUUCCAACACAAUGCCCUCUCCUCCAGCUCAUAAAUCAUGAAGCCGUGUCGGGCCAUUAAUCUUCUCCUCUAGCAAGCACCUGGGUGAAGAUACUAAAUCAAACACACACAAAAGUGCCAAUGAAACACAGAUUCUGCGGCACAAACUGAAGGUACGACAAACAUUUGCUGCAGUAGUAGUUUAAACACAUGUUGAUUGCAACGGAGAACAGGAUGGUUCUCAUCAUUCUCAUUUAAGCCCAGUCAUCUCAUUCAUGUCAAGGGUACUGUAAAACAUGAUUGUUAAAAUUCAGAAACAUCAACUAUAUAACCUCCUGACUAUCACCAAAAAAAGAAGUGAAUCCCUGCCACCGGAGAUCUUGGCACAACAAAAUCGAAGCCACUCACAUGGGCACGUUCCUUAAUCUCCACAUACAUGUUGCACGCCUCAGGGUCUAGCUUACCAGAACUGAGCUCUUCGCAUCCACUAAACACAAUCUGAUACAAAUAGACCAUUCUACCACGGAGCUCGGGGAGAAACAUGGCGGCGGCUCCUCGCCCUUUCACAAUGAGCAUGUUUGAGCCAAUCAAGAAGGCAAAAAGGAAAUGAACAAAACAAUUGCAACUGUAGAAAUCAGGAUGCUCCCUGCAAAUAACAUAUCUCAAGAACCCAUAAAAAAUGAAACUGCAGUCCAUAGGGCAGGCUGCGAAGUAUGUGUGGCAGCAAACAAGAACUGCAUGAUCAGAUCAUCCUCGUUGGCCGGCAUGAUGUCCUAGUCACAUAGCGGUGGUGCUACUAAUUAAAUUGAUAACUGUGAUGCUUUUAUCUAAAUCUGAAGACAACAAAUGGUGUCAUGAGACCGAGUUUAACUAUGUGUGGAGGCAAACAAAUAUGGUUUUAGAAUGGCUACAGCCAAAACUACUUUUGUAUUGACUAACAAUAAAAAAUAAUUAGAAUAAUAACGUGAGAAUGAGGUUAGUAGAAUCAUGUCUUGGAAAUUAUGCAUUUUUUGUAUUUUCUGCCUUUCGUGUCAAUGUCAAACAGCAUACACUUCGUACAAUACACUAACUGGUAAUUGUCAGACAAACAGGAAAAUGACACCACUGAAUAUGACCUAAACAUGAAAAGGUUAACUCAUGGAAAUUUAACAGACUAUCUACAAGAAGCAAUGUUCUCUUUCCAUCUUUUGUAUCUCCGUCAAGCAAGCCAUGAGUAACAAAGAUGACAAGUUGGAACAGUACAUGAGCAUCUGAAUAUUUCAGAACUAAGUCUUAGGGGUUCAGGGAUGUGAAACUGCGCACACGCGCACGCACAAACAGAGUGAGCGAGUGAGUGCCUGGUUGAGUCUCGGAGAGAGAGAGAGAGAGAGAGAGAUGGGGAUCGUACCGAAUCCAAAGCAACAGGAGCCAAGCUGCGAGAAAUCCAUCGACGGUGGCUCAGAUCCCGCGCCAACCCGACCAGCCCCUCGAACGGAAUGCAUCACGGGCCCUGCCUCUCGGUCCACAGCCCGCGCCGCCGCGGAUGUCCCGAGCCCCGUGGAGUGCGCCGCCGGCCAC
Molecule: long non-coding RNA, 1840 nt
Filed under: Triticum aestivum (bread wheat)
Lineage: Eukaryota; Viridiplantae; Streptophyta; Magnoliopsida; Poales; Poaceae
Description: long non-coding RNA (TAES_LNC000384)
Source: RNAcentral